CAUUUGCAGAGACCUAUACUAGGUGCUGGGAGAGAGUUCUUCCAUCAUGGAACUCAGACCAGCAAGGGGAAAAAUUUGAAUAUAGGUAUCUCUGAAAACAACAAUAAGAAAUGAAUGCAUAAAUGAAAGUCAAGUGAUAUCCAACAGGAAAAAGGCAUUUUGGAAAUAAAUAUUUGAUGACUUUAAAUAUAUCGAUUUUCUUUGCUGUGAAAGGGAAUUUUUUGGUUCCCUUUGCCUAUUUUAAGUUAAUCAAUCAGGAACUUAAAGUAUGCCUACUUAACACUUAGUCACUAACAAAGAAAGUUCAUGCCCUAAUAGACCACAAGCAUUGCCUCUCACCAUCCCAGCAGUGCUAGGCAAAUUGAAAGACUGUGAUUGAUUCCUGAGAUGUGAUGAGGAGAGCUGAUGGGUGGAGAAAAUUGUAUAUAAGCAGGAGCUUGAGAGAGAUCUGUUCUCUUCAUUCUUGGUGGCUCUUAGCCUCUGGAGCAUGAGCUCUUCAUUCUUGGUGGUUUUGGCAUGUGUACACUGAAGGUUCUCAGCGGUUUUUAGCGUCUUUUGGUUCUUUGGAUUUCAGCUUCCUGAUCGGGGCUUUGGAUUCUCAUGAAGAUUUGGCUUCCUACAUUGGAGGCUCAGGCUGAAGAGGGACACUUACUCGGGUGUAACUCUUGCCUCCCUGGCAUGAGAGAUUGCCUUUUGCAGCUCAGCCUCUUCAGCAUCAGUUUUUGGUUGUUGGAAUGCCUGCCUGGAGAUACUCUCAUGGACUGAGGAUAAGUUGAAGCUCCCAGAAGGAUUUCCUUUGCUCCAGGACACUCAGCUGGUAAGCAGGAGAGUUCUGAUUCAACAAUCAGCAGAAUGUAUAACUUGGAUAAUAAAGCAUCCCAUGGAAGGACCUGGAUGGAAUCUUGGAUCUGUCAACUAUUUGCUGUAUGACCUUAGUUGGCUGUCACUGUCCAAGAAAACUUCCACAGCACCGAAAAGAGGAAGCAGGGGAGACUGUGGCAUAGAGUCAACCUGUAUGGAUUGAGAUCUUGGUUCUGCUAGAGAGGCUGUGGUGCUGCAAGUGACAUGGGAGGGAGCAGAGGGUAAGUGAUUUGGG
This 1096-nucleotide long non-coding RNA is filed under the name Monodelphis domestica (gray short-tailed opossum). RNAcentral describes it as "lncRNA (ENSMODG00000037953.1)". Lineage: Eukaryota; Metazoa; Chordata; Mammalia; Didelphimorphia; Didelphidae. The record is from RNAcentral.